UACGUAGGGGGCAAGCGUUGUCCGGAAUCAUUGGGCGUAAAGAGCGUGUAGGCGGCCCGAUAAGUCCGCUGUGAAAGUCCAGGGCUCAACCCUGGGAUGCCGGUGGAUACUGUCGGGCUCGAGUCCGGAAGAGGAGUGUGGAAUUCCUGGUGUAGCGGUGAAAUGCGCAGAUAUCGGGAAGAACACCCGUGGCGAAGGCGGCUCUCUGGGACGGUACUGACGCUGAGACGCGAAAGCGUGGGGAGCGAACAGG
RNAcentral lists this ribosomal RNA (253 nucleotides) under uncultured bacterium. Its description in RNAcentral is "partial 16S ribosomal RNA". It matches the Rfam family "Bacterial small subunit ribosomal RNA", at positions 524 to 776 of the family's 1533-position model. The record is from RNAcentral.